Molecule: long non-coding RNA, 981 nt
Organism: Sardina pilchardus (European sardine)
Lineage: Eukaryota; Metazoa; Chordata; Actinopteri; Clupeiformes; Clupeidae
Exons: 5
Source: RefSeq, a predicted model, not a curated record
AGCAAAACUGGACAGCAAGAUAGCUCAAAUCAGUCUAGAUAUUGUUGAUGUAUCCCAUUCUCUAAAUGCCCAUUCAACUGAUUUUCACGAAACAGUAAAGCAUCAGGAAUCCACACUGAAUGAGCUGAAGGCUAAAGAAGACAACAUCAGCUCCUUCUUAUACUCCAUCCCCUCAAAACUUCAGGAAACAUCAGGAGAUGAAAAACUUACAGCUUUGAACAACUUGACCAAUGAGAUACUGAGCAGCAUCAGAAAAAUGAUUAAAGAUGAUCCUAAAUCAAAAUGCCCAGAGGACUGGGAUUUCUAUUCAGCCAAUUGCUACUUCUUUUCCGUUGAUGAUGCGCUGUCAUGGCAUGAUGCUAGAGAUUACUGUAAAUCACAAGGAGCCUCUCUGCUUAUUGUGACAAAGCGCAAAGAAUGGGUUUGUUGGACUACAUUUCAGAAUCAUGUAAAUGCAUAGCAGAUUCAGUUGUACAGUAUUAGGAUCUGGUACCAAACUAUUUUCAAGGAUAAUUUCAUCAAAACCUCUUAAAAUGAGCUAUCAUUCUAUAUUAUGUAUAUUUUAGAAGAAUGUAAAGGUGUAACAGUCAUUUUUCUCCUUUGCAGUCCUAUGUGACCAAAACCACCAUGCCGAGGGAUUACUGGGUUGGCCUCACGGAUGAAAAGACAGGCACAUGGAGAUGGGUAGAUGAAACACCUUAUGUUAUGGACCAAAGUACAUGGAGGGAGAACCAGCCCGAUAACUGGACUGGCCAUACUUUGGGAGGAACAGAGGACUGUGCAUAUCUGACAUGGACUGGAAAGCUAAAUGAUGGCCACUGUGCUAAGAAGUAUAAUUAUGUCUGUAAAAAAGCUGCCUCAAUUUCUUGACCACCAUAUAGUCAGAUGAUCAGAUCUAUACCAUUACUGAAGACAUACUUUCAUCUGAAUUCAUCUGUAACAUUUGACACUAAAUAGAUUUUAAAAAAUACUGUAUAUUGA